ACACCGGCAGCUCUAGUGGUAGCUGUUUUUAUUGGGCCUAAAGCGUUCGUAGCCGGUUUGGUAAGUCACUGGUGAAAUCCUGUAGCUUAACUAUGGGAAUUGCUAGUGAUACUGUUGAACUUGAGGUCGGGAGAGGUUAGCGGUACUCCCAGGGUAGAGGUGAAAUUCUGUAAUCCUGGGAGGACCACCUGUGGCGAAGGCGGCUAACUGGAACGAACCUGACGGUGAGGGACGAAAGCUAGGGGCGCGAACCGGAUUAGAUACCCGGGUAGUCCUAGCCGUAAACGAUGCGGACUUGGUGUUGGGAUGGCUUUGAGCCGCUCCGGUGCCGAAGGGAAGCUGUUAAGUCCGCCGCCUGGGAAGUACGGUCGCAAGACUGAAACUUAAAGGAAUUGACGGGG
Molecule: ribosomal RNA, 401 nt
Filed under: uncultured bacterium
Lineage: Bacteria
Description: partial 16S ribosomal RNA
Rfam family: Archaeal small subunit ribosomal RNA
Source: RNAcentral